GAUGAAGAACGUAGCGAAAUGCGAUAAGUAAUGUGAAUUGCAGAAUUCAGUGAAUCAUCGAAUCUUUGAACGCACAUUGCGCCCCUUGGUAUUCCGAGGGGCAUGCCUGUUCGAGCGUCAUUAUAACCCCUCAAGCUCAGCUUGGUGUUGGGGCCUGCUGCACUGGCAGCCCUUAAAAUCAGUGGCGGCGCCAUCUGGCUCUAAGCGUAGUAAUUCUUCUCGCUAUGGAGUCCUGGUGGAUGCUUGCCAUCAACCCCCAACUUUUCUAUGGUUGACCUCGGAUCAGGUAGGGAUACCCGCUGAACUUAAGCAUAUCAAUAAGCGGAGGA
This 329-nucleotide unclassified non-coding RNA is filed under the name soil metagenome. Its description in RNAcentral is "partial contains 5.8S ribosomal RNA, internal transcribed spacer 2, and large subunit ribosomal RNA". The stretch from base 1 to 120 matches the Rfam family "5.8S ribosomal RNA", at positions 35 to 154 of the family's 154-position model. The record is from RNAcentral.